CCUACGGGGGGCUGCAGUGGGGAAUAUUGGACAAUGGGGGGAACCCUGAUCCAGCCAUGCCGCGUGUGUGAAGAAGGCCCUCGGGUUGUAAAGCACUUUCAGUGAGGAAGAACGCCUGGUGGUUAAUACCCAUCAGGAAAGACAUCACUCACAGAAGAAGCACCGGCUAACUCCGUGCCAGCAGCCGCGGUAAUACGGAGGGUGCGAGCGUUAAUCGGAAUUACUGGGCGUAAAGCGCGCGUAGGUGGCUUGAUAAGCCGGUUGUGAAAGCCCCGGGCUCAACCUGGGAACGGCAGCCGGAACUGUCAAGCUAGAGUGCAGGAGAGGAAGGUAGAAUUCCCGGUGUAGCGGUGAAAUGCGUAGAGAUCGGGAGGAAUACCAGUGGCGAAGGCGGCCUUCUGGACUGACACUGACACUGAGGUGCGAAAGCGUGGGUAGCAAACAGGAUUAGAUACCCUGGUAGUC
RNAcentral lists this ribosomal RNA (465 nucleotides) under Vreelandella stevensii. Its description in RNAcentral is "partial 16S ribosomal RNA". It matches the Rfam family "Bacterial small subunit ribosomal RNA", at positions 338 to 795 of the family's 1533-position model. Lineage: Bacteria; Pseudomonadati; Pseudomonadota; Gammaproteobacteria; Oceanospirillales; Halomonadaceae. The record is from RNAcentral.